This 526-nucleotide ribosomal RNA is filed under the name uncultured eukaryote. RNAcentral's name for it is "SSU rRNA". It matches the Rfam family "Eukaryotic small subunit ribosomal RNA", at positions 75 to 604 of the family's 1831-position model. The record is from RNAcentral.
UAUACAGCGAAACUGCGAAUGGCUCAUUAUAUAAGUUAUCGUUUAUUUGAUAGUGCCUUACUACUUGGAUAACCGUGGUAAUUCUAGAGCUAAUACAUGCUAAAAACCCCGACUUCGGAAGGGGUGUAUUUAUUAGAUACAAAACCAAUGCCCUUCGGGGCUCUUUGGUGAUUCAUGAUAACUAUACGAAUCGCACGGCCUUGCGCCGGCGAUGGUUCAUUCAAAUUUCUUCCCUAUCAACUUCCGAUGUUUGGGUAUUGGCCAAACAUGGUUGCAACGGGUAACGGAGGGUUAGGGCUCGACCCCGGAGAAGGAGCCUGAGAAACGGCUACUACAUCCAAGGAAGGCAGCAGGCGCGCAAAUUACCCAAUCCCGACUCGGGGAGGUAGUGACAAUAAAUACUGAUACAGGGCCCUUUCGGGCCUUGUAAUUGGAAUGAGUACAAUUUAAAUCCCUUAACGAGGAACAAUUGGAGGGCAAGUCUGGUGCCAGCAGCCGCGGUAAUUCCAGCUCCAAUAGCGUAUAU